Molecule: non-coding RNA, 30 nt
Filed under: Homo sapiens (human)
Lineage: Eukaryota; Metazoa; Chordata; Mammalia; Primates; Hominidae
Source: RNAcentral
CNCUAACAGCCUGAGAGAAAAGGACACUGC